AUUAUUUUACUUAUGCUUAGUAUAAGCCGACAUGUUGGAUGUAUAAUCCAUAAUUUGUCGAAAAACUUAAAGCUAAUAUAUUUAAGCCCAAAUAAAAGAGUCUAAAUCUAACUCUAGAUGAAAUACCUAACUUUGUAAAAAAUCAAAUCUCUUGCGUCCUCUGAAAUUUACAAAAAAUUCCUCAAAACUGAAUAUAACCGAGCGACGUUCCAGGCAAAACAUACGGGUUAUCAUUGUCAUGGUUUGUGAGGGUAAGCUGUUAAUUUUCAGACGAAGUGAACAGUGUCAGAAAGAACCAAUAGGGCGGCGCGCCGAGGCCGACCAUCGCCNN
RNAcentral lists this long non-coding RNA (331 nucleotides) under Oryza brachyantha (malo sina). RNAcentral describes it as "long non-coding RNA (OBRA_LNC000645)". The record is from RNAcentral. Lineage: Eukaryota; Viridiplantae; Streptophyta; Magnoliopsida; Poales; Poaceae.